CAUCAAGUCAUCUAUGGUGGAUAACAGUUGCAUUGGGCAUGGAUGUGCCCCAUGGUUCCAUGGCAAUAAUCACAACAUGGUGGAAACAACAUAAUUUUCAGCAUAUGCCCAGUACCUCACAAUUUAAAGAUCAUCCACAUUAACACGGGCAAUAAUGACAACAUGGUUCCAUGGCAAUUAUGUCAUCAUAGGCAUAAAGGAAAGCACAAGUAAACACGGGCCUCAGCUGCACUACAACACAUCCAAUGCAAAUGCUCCUCAGAUUAGUGUAUAUAGCAUCAUUGGCCAAGUAAAAACUUCAAUCAUAGUAUGAAAUGUUUGAGCCUUACAGUAAAAACUUCAAUCAUAGUAAAAACUUCAAUCAUAGUAAGAAUACAAAUAGUGCCUUACAAUAAGUUUGAGCCCAAUAGCUUAGGGUUCAAAUGGUGUCCACCCAAAUGUUACCUAUUGUUAGCCACCCUCCUAGGUAAAUUAGACAAAAGGACUGGUGGGAGUAAACCAGACUGCACACCAAAAUGUCUACAACAAAUUAUUCCUAGUUGUAGUCAAAAGAGAGAGUGGGCAGGAAGAGAGAGUGGGUGGUGGUGCACACCAACAUGUAAUUCACCUACAUGUAGUAGUUCUUGGCUAGGAAGGUCCUAAGCCAAAUGUUUCUAUGUGCCUCAGUCAUGUGAACAAAGCCACUGCCUUGAGCCUUGUUGUCCAGGAGGAAGGUGUAGGCAACAAUCAGUGCCUCCUCAGAAUAGCCAGGCAUCUCCAUCACAGCUAAGUAGAGGUUACCAUCCACAUGGGCAGGUCCAGUCUCUCUAAGGGCAUUAGCCACAUUGUUCACUGCAUCAGACAUAUUGGUCAACAUAAGCAUCUCAUCCUCACUGAAGUUCCCUCUCUUCCUCUUCCUACCCACAGCUAUGGAGGGGAUCUCGGUGGCCUUGCUACCCUCUCCAACAUCAGUUUGUGCUCUCUCUUCAGAGAUAUAGGUGAAGGCAGGUCCCUCAACCUUGGCAGCAACACUAUCAACCUGGUUCUGUCCUAAGGCUUCACCAGAACCAAGUGCAAAUUUGCCAGUGGCCAUAGCAUGGCCAAAAAUGGCCUCCAUCUCAGUGUAGAACCUAAUAGGGCAGUUUAGGAACUCUGCAUCUUUUGGAUGGUCCUGAUCAAGUAAUUGAAAAGAUAGUGUUUUAGACAAGUAAAAAAAGCAAGGAGACAUAGGAAACAAAUCAUAGUGCUACCUUGCAGUGGCCAAGGUAGUGCUCCUGAUCAAGCAAGAUAGCAUUGGAGUCACUAUCCCAUAAAGCCCCACUAAGGUCUUUGAGCUUAGACACCCUAGACCAUUUUUGCCUCCAUUUCCUCAAGUGGUUAUACACCUGAGUUGGGCUCACUGCCUCCCCACUGUACUCCUUAAGGGCUUUGGCCACAGAGUUGACAUCCUUGUCCUUGAAGACCUUGUCAGGCCUGCUACCAUCACUAAGAAGUUGAGCCAUCCUCCUAAGAAUAAAUCCAGAGGUGUUGUUGUUCCACCUCAUUGCCCUAGGACCCCCGGGAACAGCAGCAACAAGACCAGCUGCUGUUGGAGCAGCACCGACACUAGAUGCAGUAGCAUCAUCAGCGUUAGCUGCUGCACUAGCACCAACCCUUAUCAUCUCAGUCAUCACAUCAGUAGCUGGGACAAACCCACCCUGAUCACCAGCUGGGACUGAAGGCAUCUUACCACUGGUUUGCAUGUACAAAUUAGUAUAAUAAUAUCAACACAACAAGAAGAGUCAAAUGGGAAUAAAAAAAUUGGUCUCAGCCAUGUCCAUCAUAUUAUUACAUUAUCAUCAAACAAACAUGAGUUCCAUAGCAGGGUAAACAAACCAUCAUAUCCUAGAGCUUCCCCUCCCUUCCCACAUAACAUUGCAAAUGGCAUCCCUCUUUGCAGCCAUGGCACUGGAUUCUUGGCUCUGGCUACCAUUAUCAUCUAGUGGAUCUUGUUGUGUGCCAGUGAAACCCUCCUCAUCAGGCACUACUUCAUCAAUGCCAAAUCCUAAAAUCCAGUUAUGCAGGAUCGAGCAUGCCAACACAAGCUUGACUUGUGUCUUAUACUUGUGAAAGGGCUUGUUGUCCAAGAUACGAAACCUGUUCUUCAAUGCACCUAUAGCCCUCUCCACAGUUACUCUAAGUGAUGAGUGUCUCAGGUUGAACAGUUCUCUUGCAUUGGUAGGUCGAUUUCUGCUCCCAAACUCACUCAAAUGGUACCUAACCCCCCUGAAGGGGGGUAGAAAGCCAGUGCGGCAUGCAUACCCCGCAUCUACCAAGUAGAAUUUACCUACAAUGUGAAAUCUACUGUGAGCUUGUGUGACAUUGUAGAAUUUACCUACAAUGUGAACUUGGUAGUGCAAUUACCUUGUGGGACAGUGAACCCAUCAUCCCUCUCAAUGGCAUCAGCCAGGAUAAGUGCAUCAUGGGCAGACCCCUCCCAACCAGCUAGAACGUAUGUGAACUUGAGGUCAAAUCCACAGCAACCAUCACAUUUUGUGUCGGGUUAGUUUUCCUACCCCUGAAAGCUUGCUGCAUGUGUCUAGGCACCCUUGCCAGCACAUGGGUGCCAUCAAUGGCACCAAUGCAGUCCUAAAAACCAUAUAUGUAAGAUAAAUGAACAUGUGAAUAUGAACAACUAAUGAACCCAAGGUAGGCAAAUACCUUUAAAUAUGGAUUCCAUCUAUAGCUUCCAGUGAUCUUUGGGUGAGUGGUAGGGCUAGGUGCCUUGAUAAGUUCCUUCCUAAGCUCUCCAACAGCAUACAAAACCUGAUGAAAGUGCUUGUGUACUGUCUGAAUGGACCUCCUAAAGGCCUGGUGCACAACUCUGAACCUUUGGUUGUGACCAACAACAUGCAAGAACAUGGCAACUUGCUCCUCUACUGACACCCCUCCCUAUCAGUUACCAGUCCCCUCUCUCUAAAGGUCGUGCAUAAAGCAAAAAAAAGGGCUCUCUUCAUCCUAAGCAUGGAAAUGCACUCUACAUCAGUGGAGUUGUAAAUCAUGUUGAGGGUCCUCUGUCUGUGAAGUUCACUUUGUUCCCUAAGUACAUAGACUAGAGGGUCAGGCUCUACUUCAGGAUCAAACCUUUUUCUUUUAAGCCUAGUUGUAACAAAUGAAACCAUCACUACUGUCAAGGCAGCUGCUUGCUUACACAACAGCUCGCGGCUCAAAGAGGGAUCCAUCUACAUGCAUAUAACAAUGAUACAAGAAUUAAUCUAAUCAUACCCUGCUUGGCCUCAACAUGUUUGCAAAAUGAAUCAGUAAGGAAAAAGAACACAGCUGCAUCAUCUAUAUGAUACCUCCAAGUGAACGUAAAGGACAACAUCAUCGACCAAUUUAAUAUAAAUCCAAAGCAAACCACAUGAAAAUCAAACUCGCAGCAGGUAUAACAUGAACAACACACUGUACCAAACCCUAACUCAUGAAGCAUGAACCUGAAAAUAGAACGAUUGGGGGUUGAUUUCACCUUGGGGUCAAGGUCGUAGCAACGGAGACAGAGCAGAUCUAGAAGUAUAGGAAGCAGAUCGACCAGAGACGAAGCGACGAAGCAGAUGCCCAACGCCACGGAGUCCCGGCACCAGGCGGAGCUGGACGCAGCCGCGACACACAACCACUCGCCGCCAGUCUCUCACGAGGGAGGGAGGAGGUGGAAGAAGAACGAGCAGCGAGAGGAGGGGAAAAGGAGGGUGCACCGUCGCCAUAUAUAGCCGCAAGAGGAUUCACCGGAGCGCUCCUUCCCCCGCGCGCGAAAACCUCAGCAUUCCCGCGCGAGCUCCCGCCAGCCACCUCGCCCGUCGCCAGUGCGCCGCGCGCAGCCGCGCUCCUAGGAAACGAACCCAAGCCGCGUUUCCUGGGAGCCACCCAGGAGGCAGCCUUUUGGCUGUUUUCAGCCAGGCCGCGAAACGGGCCAACCUUGCAAACAAGGCUAGUUGCAGCCCACGGGCGCAACCGGGCUACUGGGCCACCCUCCCAAACAUGCCCCUAGUGUCUGUCGUGUCCACUCGUAAGAUUCGAGCUGGAAAUGACAGUAUUAUUAAAAAGCUGACAUUAACUCAGGCCAUUGACGCAAGAGAUGCACUAGCAAAGUCAAUAUACGCCAAUUUAUUUGACUGGAUCGUUGAGCAAAUUAACCACACACUUGGAACGGGGAGGCAAUUUACAUGGAGAUCCAUAAGUAUAUUGGAUAUUUAUGGGUUUGAGUGUUUCAAUAAGAAUGGUUUUGAGCAAUUUUGUAUAAAUUAUGCCAAUGAGAGGCUGCAGCAGCACUUCAACCGACAUCUUUUCAAACUACAACAGGAGAAAUCCAUGCUCUGAAACUUGAUCCAGGACAUAGAGCCCUUGGACCUAAGUGUCAUCCAGAAAGAUGUUGCUCCUGAAACAGUAGAUGCAAUGAAGAGGACUAUUUCUGGCAUGUUGGGUCUUCUUCCAUCCGAUCAGUUCUGUGUCAUUGUAGAAGCCCUUUGAAAUCCCUUCUUCAAGUUAUUGGUAUCUUCAAUUAUGAUUGGCUCCCGUCACUCCACUCAAGAUCCAGCAGAAGUGGAGCAACUGCGAGAAAAACUUAGGAAUCAGGAUUACUUGAAGCAACAAGCUGCGCAACAUGAAUAUUAUGCUAAACAGAUUCAACAACAACAAACACUCAUACAACAACUAGCACAGACCCAAGGGAUACACGUCCCGGUACCCCCCUACCACCACCUCCCGUUCAUUAUCCUUGGUCUUCACCUCCACCUACACCUACAUCUCCACCUACCGAACAUCAGACCCCUUCAGCUACCUUGCCGACGCAUGAACGAGAAGACGGGUUAGACUUUUUCGAAACCCUCUUCGCUAGUGGAGGUAUGGACCAUCACUCGUCACUGUAACCCGAUGGUGAUCGGCGAUCGUGAGCUUCCAUGUUAUGUGUUCUAAUACUUAAGACUUUUAUUAUGACUAUGUAUGAGAUAUUGUCUCUUAUUAGUACUGGAUGAGAUGUGCCUUAUUAUGAUUAUGGAUAAGACUUUUGUGAUGUAAUUGAUGAGACUAUGGAUUUAAAUAUUGUUAUGUGAUUGUGUGU
Molecule: long non-coding RNA, 5071 nt
Organism: Zea mays
Lineage: Eukaryota; Viridiplantae; Streptophyta; Magnoliopsida; Poales; Poaceae
Exons: 7
Source: RefSeq, a predicted model, not a curated record